UACAGAGAGUGCAAACGUUGUUCGGAAUUACUGGGCUUAAAGCGCACGUAGGCGGUGUCGUAAGUGUCAGGUGAAAUCCCACGGCUCACCCGUGGAACUGCCUGGCAUACUGCGAUACUCGAGUGUGGUAGGGGAGAGCGGAACUCCUGGUGGAGCGGUGAAAUGCGUAGAUAUCAGGAGGAACACCGGUGGCGAAGGCGGCUCUCUGGUCCACAACUGACGCUGAGGUGCGAAAGCUAGGGGAGCGAACGGG
This 253-nucleotide ribosomal RNA is filed under the name uncultured bacterium. RNAcentral's name for it is "partial 16S ribosomal RNA". It matches the Rfam family "Bacterial small subunit ribosomal RNA", at positions 524 to 776 of the family's 1533-position model. The record is from RNAcentral.